Molecule: ribosomal RNA, 257 nt
Filed under: uncultured archaeon
Lineage: Archaea
Description: partial 16S ribosomal RNA
Rfam family: Archaeal small subunit ribosomal RNA
Source: RNAcentral
CAGCCGUAAACUAUGCGCGUUAGGUGUAUCGGUGACCACGAGUUACCGAGGUGCCGAAGGGAAACCGUGAAACGUGCCGCCUGGGAAGUACGGUCGCAAGGCUGAACUUAAGGAUUGGCGGGGAGCACCACAACAGGUGGAGCCUGCGGUUUAAUCGGACUCAACGCCGGGAAGCUCACCGGAUAAGACAGCGGAAUGAUUGCCGGGCUGAAGACUCUGCAUGACUAGCUGAGAGGAGGUGCAUGGCGUAGACGUCU